GGGUCUAAAGCUCAUACGGUAUGAACGGUCAACUCAUAAAUGAAAGGUAGCUGAUUCGAGUCCAGCUAGACCCACCA
RNAcentral lists this transfer RNA (77 nucleotides) under Gilliamella sp. Imp1-1. Its description in RNAcentral is "tRNA-Met". It matches the Rfam family "tRNA". Rfam says of the family: Transfer RNA (tRNA) molecules are approximately 80 nucleotides in length. Their secondary structure includes four short double-helical elements and three loops (D, anti-codon, and T loops). The record is from RNAcentral. Lineage: Bacteria; Pseudomonadati; Pseudomonadota; Gammaproteobacteria; Orbales; Orbaceae.